CCGUAGGUGAACCUGCGGAAGGAUCAUUAUUGAAUAAACCUGAUGUGACUGUUAGCUGGCUUUUCGAAGCAUGUGCUCGUCCAUCAUCUUUAUCUCUCCACCUGUGCACAUUUUGUAGUCUUGGAUACCUCUCGAGGAAACUCGGAUUUGAGGAUCGCCGUGCUGUACAAGUCGGCUUUUCUUUCAUUUCCAAGACUAUGUUUUUAUAUACACCAAAGUAUGUUUAUAGAAUGUCAUCAAUGGGAACUUGUUUCCUAUAAAAUUAUACAACUUUCAGCAACGGAUCUCUUGGCUCUCGCAUCGAUGAAGAACGCAGCGAAAUGCGAUAAGUAAUGUGAAUUGCAGAAUUCAGUGAAUCAUCGAAUCUUUGAACGCACCUUGCGCUCCUUGGUAUUCCGAGGAGCAUGCCUGUUUGAGUGUCAUUAAAUUCUCAACCUUCCAACUUUUAUUAGCUUGGUUAGGCUUGGAUGUGGGGGUUGCGGGCUUCAUCACUGAGGUCGGCUCUCCUUAAAUGCAUUAGUGGAACUUUUGUGGACCAUCUAUUGGUGUGAUAAUUAUCUACGCCGUGGGUGUGAAGCAGCUUUAUGAAGUUCUGCUUCUAACCGUCCAUUGACUUGGACAAUUUUGACAAUUUGACCUCAAAUCAGGUAGGACUACCCGCUGAACUUAAGCAUAUCAAUAAGCGGAGGA
Molecule: ribosomal RNA, 690 nt
Filed under: Laccaria bicolor
Lineage: Eukaryota; Fungi; Basidiomycota; Agaricomycetes; Agaricales; Hydnangiaceae
Description: eukaryotic LSU rRNA
Rfam family: 5.8S ribosomal RNA (bases 269-422)
Source: RNAcentral